This 434-nucleotide ribosomal RNA is filed under the name uncultured Chromatiales bacterium. RNAcentral's name for it is "bacterial SSU rRNA". It matches the Rfam family "Bacterial small subunit ribosomal RNA", at positions 1091 to 1525 of the family's 1533-position model. The record is from RNAcentral. Lineage: Bacteria; Pseudomonadati; Pseudomonadota; Gammaproteobacteria; Chromatiales.
UACGAGCGCACCCUUGCCCUUAGUUGCCAUCACUUCGGGUGGGAACUCUAGGGGAGACUGCCGGUGAUAAACCGGAGGAAGGUGGGGAUGACGUCAAGUCAUCAUGGCCCUUAUGGGGAGGGCUACACACGUGCUACAAUGGGCGGUACAGAGGGCUGCUAAGCCGCGAGGUGGAGCUAAUCUCAGAAAACCGGUCUUAGUCCGGAUUGCAGUCUGCAACUCGACUGCAUGAAGCCGGAAUCGCUAGUAAUCGCGAAUCAGAACGCCGCGGUGAAUACGUUCCCGGGCCUUGUACACACCGCCCGUCACACCAUGGGAGUGGGCUGUACCAGAAGCAGGUAGGCUAACCUUCGGGAGGACGCUCACCACGGUGUGAUUCAUGACUGGGGUGAAGUCGUAACAAGGUAGCCCUAGGGGAACCUGCGGCUGGAUCA